GCACCCGUAGCUCAACUGGAUAGAGUAUCUGACUACGGAUCAGAAGGUUAGAGGUUCAAAUCCUCUCGGGUGCGCCA
This 77-nucleotide transfer RNA is filed under the name Alphaproteobacteria bacterium. RNAcentral describes it as "tRNA-Arg". It matches the Rfam family "tRNA". Rfam says of the family: Transfer RNA (tRNA) molecules are approximately 80 nucleotides in length. The record is from RNAcentral. Lineage: Bacteria; Pseudomonadati; Pseudomonadota; Alphaproteobacteria. RNAcentral also lists the same sequence under 1 other name.